ACGCCCUACGGAGCGCUCAGGUCCGCCGCAUCUCCUGGGUCCGUGGGGUUGGUCGGCGCAGAAACGGGUUCAGAGUGGCCUCCUCAUGUCAUCCGCUUCGCGCCGACCACCAC
RNAcentral lists this small RNA (113 nucleotides) under Pseudovibrio exalbescens. Its description in RNAcentral is "Nesiotobacter exalbescens EcpR1". It matches the Rfam family "EcpR1". Rfam says of the family: Perviously named SmelC291, SmrC10, or Sra33. The record is from Rfam by way of RNAcentral. Lineage: Bacteria; Pseudomonadati; Pseudomonadota; Alphaproteobacteria; Hyphomicrobiales; Stappiaceae.